Molecule: transfer RNA, 70 nt
Filed under: Marmota marmota marmota (Alpine marmot)
Lineage: Eukaryota; Metazoa; Chordata; Mammalia; Rodentia; Sciuridae
Also listed under: 3 other names
Rfam family: tRNA
About the family: Transfer RNA (tRNA) molecules are approximately 80 nucleotides in length.
Source: Rfam by way of RNAcentral
GGGGAUGUGGCUCAAUGGUAGAGCACUUGCCUAGCACAUGAAUCACUGGGUUCAAUCCUCAGCAUCACAU